This 510-nucleotide ribosomal RNA is filed under the name uncultured bacterium. Its description in RNAcentral is "partial 16S ribosomal RNA". It matches the Rfam family "Bacterial small subunit ribosomal RNA", at positions 28 to 507 of the family's 1533-position model. The record is from RNAcentral.
GACGAACGCUGGCGGCGUGCUUAACACAUGCAAGUCCAACGAAGAGCGAUGGAAGCUUGCUUCUAUCAAUCUUAGUGGCGAACGGGUGAGUAACGCGUAAUCAACCUGCCCUUCAGAGGGGGACAACAGUUGGAAACGACUGCUAAUACCGCAUACGAUCUAAUCUCGGCAUCGAGGAUAGAUGAAAGGUGGCCUCUACAUGUAAGCUAUCACUGAAGGAGGGGAUUGCGUCUGAUUAGCUAGUUGGAGGGGUAACGGCCCACCAAGGCGAUGAUCAGUAGCCGGUCUGAGAGGAUGAACGGCCACAUUGGGACUGAGACACGGCCCAGACUCCUACGGGAGGCAGCAGUGGGGAAUCUUCCGCAAUGGACGAAAGUCUGACGGAGCAACGCCGCGUGAGUGAUGACGGCCUUCGGGUUGUAAAGCUCUGUUAAUCGGGACGAAAGGCCUUCUUGCGAAUAGUGAGAAGGAUUGACGGUACCGGAAUAGAAAGCCACGGCUAACUACGUG